RNAcentral lists this long non-coding RNA (504 nucleotides) under Phaseolus vulgaris (common bean). RNAcentral's name for it is "long non-coding RNA (PVUL_LNC002809)". The record is from RNAcentral. Lineage: Eukaryota; Viridiplantae; Streptophyta; Magnoliopsida; Fabales; Fabaceae.
UCAACUUCUUUUUCUUCAGUCUCUCAAACUUUUCAUGGUGCCUCCCAUGUUCAUAUUUAAACUGUUACCCUUAUGGUUGCUUCUCAAAUGGCUACACCAUGCUUCAUGAAAUAGGUAUACCUUCUCUAUCAACUCUUUUUUCUUUUUUCAAUCUUCCACAUCACUGCUUUUGUUUCCUACAUUUUAAUGGAUUUGUUCUGUUACUCACUUUUUUGGAGGCAUUCAUCAAUAAUUCCUUUUACUUGUUUAAAUGUAUGACAGGAAUUCGCAUCAGUUCAACAACUUUCCGUUUCGAUUAAUUUCUUAUCAGGUUUGUCAUGUUUCGCAACCAAAUCUUUUUACCGAAGUCCUUCCACCAAGCUUUCAGAUCCAAUAUUAUCGGUGUGAAGUAUAUGUCCCAGGUGGUCUUUGAGUAAUCGUUACCAAAAUGUUUAUCAAGCUGAAGUUUGCUUUGUUGGAGGGAUUGCAACUUAGUAUAUUCGAUGACUUUAAAAUAAAUAAAUU